This 566-nucleotide ribosomal RNA is filed under the name Papiliotrema flavescens. Its description in RNAcentral is "eukaryotic LSU rRNA". It matches the Rfam family "Eukaryotic large subunit ribosomal RNA", at positions 99 to 654 of the family's 3401-position model. The record is from RNAcentral. Lineage: Eukaryota; Fungi; Basidiomycota; Tremellomycetes; Tremellales; Rhynchogastremaceae.
CGGGAAGAGCUCAAAUUUGAAAUCUGGCGUGCUCAGUGCGUCCGAGUUGUAAUCUAUAGAGUCGUUUUCCGUGCCGGACUGUGUCCAAGUCCCUUGGAACAGGGUAUCAAAGAGGGUGAUAAUCCCGUACUUGACACAAUGACCGGUGCUCUGUGAUACGUCUUCUACGAGUCGAGUUGUUUGGGAAUGCAGCUCAAAAUGGGUGGUGAGUUCCAUCUAAAGCUAAAUAUUGGCGAGAGACCGAUAGCGAACAAGUACCGUGAGGGAAAGAUGAAAAGCACUUUGGAAAGAGAGUUAAACAGUACGUGAAAUUGUUAAAAGGGAAACGAUUGAAGUCAGUCGUGACUGAGAGGCUCAGCCGGUUCUGCCGGUGUAUUCCCCUCAGUCGGGUCAACAUCAGUUUUGUUCGGUGGAUAAGGGCAGUUGGAAGGUGGCACCCUCGGGUGUGUUAUAGCCAGCUGUCGCAUACAUCGGAUGAGACUGAGGAAUGCAGCUCGCCUUUAUGGCCGGGGUUCGCCCACGUUCGAGCUUAGGAUGUUGACAUAAUGGCUUUAAACGACCCGUCU